Molecule: ribosomal RNA, 482 nt
Filed under: uncultured bacterium
Lineage: Bacteria
Description: partial 16S ribosomal RNA
Rfam family: Bacterial small subunit ribosomal RNA
Source: RNAcentral
AUUGAACGCUGGCGGCAUGCUUUACACAUGCAAGUCGAACGGUAACAGGCCGCAAGGUGCUGACGAGUGGCGAACGGGUGCGUAAUGCAUCGGAACGUGCCCAGUCGUGGGGGGUAACUACUCGAAAGAGUAGCUAAUACCUCAUACGAUCUAUGGAUUAAAGCGGGGGACCGUAAGGCCUCGCGCGAUUGGAGCGGCCGAUGUCAGAUUAGGUAGUUGGUGGGGUAAAGGCUCACCAAGCCAACGAUGUGUAGCUGGUCUGAGAGGACGACCAGCCACACUGGGACUGAGACACGGCCCAGACUCCUACGGGAGGCAGCAGUGGGGAAUUUUGGACAAUGGGCGCAAGCCUGAUCCAGCAAUGCCACGUGAAGGAAGAAGGCCUUCGGGUUGUAAACUGCUUUUGUACGGAACGAAACGGCUCUGGUUAAUACCCGGGGCUAAUGACGGUACCGUAAGAAUAAGCACCGGCUAACUACGUG